This 253-nucleotide ribosomal RNA is filed under the name uncultured bacterium. RNAcentral's name for it is "partial 16S ribosomal RNA". It matches the Rfam family "Bacterial small subunit ribosomal RNA", at positions 524 to 776 of the family's 1533-position model. The record is from RNAcentral.
UACGUAGGGGGCAAGCGUUGUCCGGAUUCAUUGGGCGUAAAGAGCGUGUAGGCGGCCAGGUAGGUCGGUUGUGAAAACUGGAGGCUCAACCUUCAGAGGUCGACCGAAACCAUCUGGCUAGAGUCCGGGAGAGGAGAGUGGAAUUCCUGGUGUAGCGGUGAAAUGCGCAGAUAUCAGGAAGGACACCCGUGGCGAAAGCGGCUCUCUGGAACGGUACUGACGCUGAGACGCGAAAGCGUGGGGAGCGAACAGG